RNAcentral lists this ribosomal RNA (253 nucleotides) under uncultured prokaryote. RNAcentral describes it as "partial 16S ribosomal RNA". It matches the Rfam family "Bacterial small subunit ribosomal RNA", at positions 525 to 777 of the family's 1533-position model. The record is from RNAcentral.
ACGAACCGUGCAAACGUUGUUCGGAAUCACUGGGCUUAAAGGGCGCGUAGGCGGGCAUUCAAGUCAGGGGUGAAAUCCUCCGGCUCAACCGGAGAACUGCCUUUGAUACUGGGUGUCUCGAGUGAGGUAGGGGUAUGCGGAACUGAUGGUGGAGCGGUGAAAUGUGUUGAUAUCAUCAGGAACUCCGGUGGCGAAAGCGGCGUACUGGACCUUUACUGACGCUGAUGCGCGAAAGCUAGGGGAGCGAACGGUA